Molecule: ribosomal RNA, 241 nt
Filed under: uncultured bacterium
Lineage: Bacteria
Description: partial 16S ribosomal RNA
Rfam family: Bacterial small subunit ribosomal RNA
Source: RNAcentral
UGGGUAAUCUGCCCUCGGUUCCGGGAUAGCCCGGGGAAACCCGGAUUAAUACCGGAUAGCCUCUCGAGCUUUCGGGCUCGUGAGAAAAGGUAGCUUCGGCCUCCGAUCGAGGAUGAGCCCGCGGCGGAUUAGCUUGUUGGUGAGGUAACGGCUCACCAAGGCGACGAUCCGUAGCUGGUCUGAGAGGACGAUCAGCCACACUGGGACUGAGACACGGCCCAGACCUCCGUACGGGAGCAGC